AGUCAACUUCUCCAAUCUUAGCAUACUCUGUUCUUCCCUCCAUCCACAGUAAACGAAAUGGAGAGAGAUCACAAAUAUUGCCUUGAAGAAGACGAAGAGAUAUUUACAACCGUAGAUCAAGUUUUUCUGAAGUUACGAGGCAUUGAUGGAUUCAAAAGCGUUAAUUUCUCCAUUUCUGGAAUGGGAGGAAUAGGAAAGAUAAUCUCACCUCUUGGUAUGGCUCUGUACUGCACCCUUGAAUUCGCUUUUGGCUAUGUCUCUGUCCGCUGGAUUCUACUAUUAGUUGGAAUUCUACUGUCUUCUUUUUUUAUUUUUUUUAUUUUAUUUUUAUUAACUUUUCUUCUUUUUGGUCUCCAACCUACGUCCCCAUGACAAUACAGAUAACCCUUGGAAUUAUUUCAACUAGCGUUUAUAAAAGUGUAUUGAGGUUCUGUCCCUGGGGAACUGUUUGUUCAUUUCAACUUUUUGUGCUUGUUUCAAAAUUGAAACUACCUGAUGUAUUUUGUUUGUGUUUACUGCCUUACUAGUUUCAGUAUGUGCUUGGCUUGGAUAUUCAUUGCUUGAAUGUUGUGCAUAUCUGAAAUCUAAA
This is an RNA transcript of Fragaria vesca subsp. vesca, 589 nucleotides long. RefSeq lists it as uncharacterized. The record is from RefSeq and is a predicted model, not a curated record. Lineage: Eukaryota; Viridiplantae; Streptophyta; Magnoliopsida; Rosales; Rosaceae. The transcript has 2 exons.